AUGGGCUCCCUCGACAGCGCCGCCGGGUCGGGGAGCUACAAGCGCGCGGCGGCACCGGCGCCGGUGCCGCGCGCCCCGGCGGGCGGCGGAGGCGCGGCGCGGAGGCCGGGCGUGAGAUCCAGGCUCGCGCGGUUCGUGCUCGUCGACAAGGUGGACUUCCUUCAGUGGAUCGGCACCGCUGCCGCCUUCUUCCUCGUCACCAUUCUCGUGUACACCUUCCUCCCCGGAUCGGUCGUCGUCGAGAACCCGACGAUGCAGCUCCCUUCGCGACGCGCCAGCGGGGGAUGGGGGCGGGGCGGGACCGAAGCCGUGCUGCCUCGCGGUCUCGGCGGGCUGGAGAACGGCGAGGGCCUCACGUUCGAGCCCACGAGGCUGCGGGACAAGUGGGCGAGGGAGCGGAGUCAGGAUGCUCAGAGCUUGGCGGAGCUCGGGAGACCCGUCAAGAGGGUCGGGGCCCGGAAGCCGCGCCUCGCCUUGGUGUUUGGGGAUCUCUCUCCCGACGCAAUGCAGCUUCAGAUGAUCAGCGUCGCCUCUGUGCUGGAGGCGAUGGGCUACGAAAUGAAGGUUUUCUCAUUUGAGGAUGGCCCAUGUAGUAGUAUUUGGAGUACUAUUGGCAUACCAGUUGAGAUCUUACCUGUGGACACAAAGUUACUCACUUCUAUAGAUUGGCUAGACUAUGAUGGCAUGCUUGUAAACUCAAUUGAAGCAAGGCCAGUAUUUUCAAGUCUUUUGCAGGAGCCUUUCAAAUCCGUACCUGUCAUUUGGACUGUGCACGAGACUUCCCUCGCUCAUUGUAUUAGGGAAUAUAAGUCUAGUGGAAUGACUCAAAUCCUAGGUGGUUGGCAAGAAGUCUUUAGCAGGGCAAAUGUUAUAGUUUUUCCCAACUACAUAUUGCCGGUGAUGUAUGCUGCAUUUGAUUCUGGUAACUAUUUCGUGAUUCCAGGUUCUCCUGCACCAGCAUUUCAAGCUGAUAGAUUCAUUGCGAAAAAUUAUGACAAAGAUGUGAGAAUCAGCCUGAGUUUAGGUCCAAGAGAUUUUGUAAUUGCUAUGGUUGGUAGUCAGUUUUCAUAUGAUGGGCUUUUGAUGGAAGAGGCACUUGUCUUGCAAGCAGUAGGACCUCUUUUACAGCAGUAUCCUUCUGAGAAUAGCACACAGACUGAACUGAAAGUGAGAAUCUUAACAGGAAACCAAACUGAUAAGCAUAGGAUAGCCCUUGAGGCCAUUGCUUUAAAUGUUGGCUUCUCAAGAGGUGCAGUGGAGCAUGUUGCUGUUGAAGAUACUGACAAUCUCCUUGCUAUAGCUAACCUUGUCAUAUACUGUUCUUGCCUUGAUGAGCAAUCCUUCCCCAGUGUGCUAGUUGAAGCUAUGAUUCUUGAGAAGCUGGUUAUAGCUCCGGACCUUGGAAUGAUCACAAAAUAUAUUGAUGAUGGGAUAAAUGGACUCCUUUUUCCAAGAAAGAAUAUUGCCAUGUUAAGUCAAGUCCUACUGCAAGUGGUAUCAAAUGGGGAACUAUCCGAUCUAGGGAAAAAUAUUGCAUCAGUUGGUAAAGCCCGUGCGAAGGAUCUGAUGGCUUCUGAAGCCAUUGAAGGCUAUGCUGUACUAUUGGAAAAUGUUAUCAAGUUUCCUUCCGAAACACUGACCCCGUUAACUGCUGGGGAGAUACCUUUGCCUUUGAAACAAGAGUGGAAAUGGCAUCUAUUUGAGGAUGUGAAGCACUUAUACAAUGUGAAUGAAAGUUUGGCUGACUGCAAGAUGCUCAAGAAAAUGGAUUGGCACAGGAACAGAAAGAAUGAUCCUCACAGUAUUACACCAAAGAUUGAUGAAACGUUCUCUGCUAUUGCAUGGAAGGAAGAAAGAGCAAAUCGGAUUAUGAGCGCCAAAAUGAAAUUGGAAGAAGAGUAUUUGAAGGAGAGGAGUGACCAACCUCGUGGAACAUGGGAGGAAGUGUAUAGAAAUGUCAAAAGGGUGGAUAGGAUGAAAAAUGAAUUGCAUGAAAGAGAUGAAAAGGAGCUUGAACGGACAGGUCAGCCACUCUGUAUAUACGAACCCUUCUAUGGGGAGGGAACUUGGCCCUUUCUGCAUCAGAGCUCUCUGUAUCGUGGAAUUGGCCUGUCUUCAAAAGGUCGAAGAUUCGGAGCAGAUGACAUUGAUGCUUCUUCUCGUCUCCCGCUGCUCAACAGUGGGUACUACAGAGAUAUCCUUGGCGAAUUUGGAGCUUUCUUUGCUCUGGCUAACAGAAUUGACCGGAUACACAAGAAUUCUUGGAUAGGAUUUCAAUCCUGGAGGGUGACUGCAAGAAAGCAGGCGAACUUGUCAAAAAAUGCUGAAUCUGCAAUGUUGGAAGCUAUUCAAACUCAAAAGCAUGGAGAUGCCUUCUACUUUUGGGUUCGUAUGGACCAAGAUCCAAGAAAUCAUGCUAAUCAAGAUUUCUGGUCCCUCUGUGAUGCGAUUAAUGCUGGGAACUGCAGGUUAGCUGUUUUGGAGGCUUUUCAAAGGAUGUAUGGCUUGCAGCUUGAUGGAGAUUUGAAUUCUCUGCCACGUAUGCCUAAUGACGGAGACACGUGGUCUGUGAUGCAAAGCUGGGUUAUGCCUACGAGAUCGUUCCUGGAAUUUGUAAUGUUCUCAAGGAUGUUUGUAGAUGCGCUGGAUGCACAGAUGUACGACAAGCAUCAUCAAACUGGGCAUUGCAUCUUGAGUCUCCACAGGGACAAGCACUGCUACUCUGGUGUUCUCGAGUUGAUUGUAAACGUUUGGGCGUUCCACAGUGCACGGCGGAUGGUCUAUGUAAACCCAGAGACUGGUGCAAUGCAGGAGCAGCAUCCGCUGGAGGGCAGGAGAGGUCAGAUGUCAAUCCAGUGGUUCUCCUACGCUACCCUGAAGAGCAUGGACGAAGACUUGGCAGAAGAGGCUGAUGCGGACCACCCUGACAGAAGGUGGCUCUGGCCACAAACUGGCGAAGUUGUGUGGCAAGGUCUGUACGAGCGGGAGAGGACCAUGCGGCAGCAGGAGAAGGAGCGGAGGAAGCAACAGACCAAAGACAAGAUCCAGAGAAUGAAGAAGAGGGCUCGGCAAAAAACCAUAGGGAGGUACAUAAAGCCACCGUCAGAUGAUGCCGGUCGCUUAAACGACACAAGGACGGACAGUUGA
RNAcentral lists this ribosomal RNA (3147 nucleotides) under Triticum aestivum (bread wheat). RNAcentral's name for it is "partial small subunit ribosomal RNA". The record is from RNAcentral. Lineage: Eukaryota; Viridiplantae; Streptophyta; Magnoliopsida; Poales; Poaceae.